CCCUAAUAAAAACAAAACCCUCAAAGCAAAAAUUUUGGAGAAAAAGAGAAAGAGAAAAGCCAAAAAUAUUUUUUAGGGGGGGCCAAGGAGGGGGGGGAAGGUUAAACAAUGUUAGGGUUUUUUUUCCCCUUUUGGGGCCCGGAGAAUAAACCCCGGGGGAAAAUCUUUGGGUUUAUAUCCGGGAUAAGGUUUUUUCGGAGGAAAACUUUUAUGCACCCAUUGGAUGGAGCCUUGCACUUGAUUAGUUUGUUUGUUGGUGGGGGUAAUGCCUACCAGGACAUGAUCAAUAGCUGAUUUGAGAGGAUGAUCAGCCACAUUGGACUUGAGACACGGCCCAAACUCCUACGGGAGGCAGCAGUAGGGAAUCUGCACAAAUGGAGGAAACUCUGAUGCAGCGAUGCCGCGUGAGUGAAGAAGGCCUUUGGGUUGUAAAGCUCUUUCGUCGGGGAAGAAAAUGACUGUACCCGAAUAAGAAGGUCCGGCUAACUUCGUGCCAGCAGCCGCGGUAAUACGAAGGGACCUAGCGUAGUUCGGAAUUACUGGGCUUAAAGAGUUCGUAGGUGGUUAAAAAAGUUGGUGGUGAAAUCCCAGAGCUUAACUCUGGAACUGCCAUCAAAACUUUUUAGCUAGAGUAUGAUAGAGGAAAGCAGAAUUUCUAGUGUAGAGGUGAAAUUCGUAGAUAUUAGAAAGAAUACCGAUUGCGAAGGCAGCUUUCUGGAUCAUUACUGACACUGAGGAACGAAAGCAUGGGUAGCGAAGAGGAUUAGAUACCCUCGUAGUCCAUGCCGUAAACGAUGUGUGUUAGACGUUGGAAAUUUAUUUUCAGUGUCGCAGCGAAAGCGAUAAACACACCGCCUGGGGAGUACGACCGCAAGGUUAAAACUCAAAUGAAUUGACGGGGACCCGCACAAGUAGUGGAGCAUGUGGUUUAAUUCGAAGAUACGCGCAGAACCUUACCAACACUUGACAUGUACGUCGCGACUCUAAGAGAUUAGAGUUUUCGGUUCGGCCGGACGAAACACAGGUGCUGCAUGGCUGUCGUCAGCUCGUGUCGUGAGAUGUUGGGUUAAGUCCCGCAACGAGCGCAACCCUUACUUUUAGUUGCUACCAUUUAGUUGGGCACUCUAAAAGAACUGCCGGUGAUAAGCUGGAGGAAGGUGGGGAUGACGUCAAGUCCUCAUGGCCCUUACGUGUUGGGCUACACACGUGCUACAAUGGUAUUUACAGUGGGAUGCUAAGAGGCAACUCCAAGCUAAUCCCCAAAAGAUACCUCAGUUCGGAUUGCACUCUGCAACUCGAGUGCAUGAAGCUGGAAUUACUAGUAAUCGGGAUCAGCGCGCCAUUCGGAAUUCGCC
Molecule: ribosomal RNA, 1355 nt
Filed under: uncultured bacterium
Lineage: Bacteria
Description: partial 16S ribosomal RNA
Rfam family: Bacterial small subunit ribosomal RNA
Source: RNAcentral